This 75-nucleotide microRNA precursor is filed under the name Erinaceus europaeus (western European hedgehog). RNAcentral describes it as "miRNA (ENSEEUG00000021385.1)". The record is from RNAcentral. Lineage: Eukaryota; Metazoa; Chordata; Mammalia; Eulipotyphla; Erinaceidae.
CCUACAUGGGGGCUGGGGGCACAGGCACUGGGGGAGAGGAGCUUGGGGUGUCAGGAACUUCAGCUGCUGGUUCAG